GCUGGGAAAUUCAUGGCAGUAGCUUGAAGCCCCAUCUCGAGCCAGUCCCUGAUUACCCAGUUCAUCUGAAACCCAAGGAAGGAUAAGUCAAAGAAGAACUCUUAUCUCGGGACUUGAAAAGGAAAACAAGCAACAAGUAUAAAAUGUCCCUGUCUCAUGACCCUGUCCAGUUCUCAAGGAAAUGAACAUAUGGACCACCACGGGACAUCCUAGCAAGAAGGCUCUCGGCUCUUGAAGAGAGCUCUGCCACCCACUGUCCUCUUGGAGAGAGGCGUCCUCUUGGACCCUGUUCCUGUCUGGAGCUGUUCAAGGACAGCAGGCAUGGCUUCCAGGACUGGAGAACUCUGAAUAGUGAUUCUUCCCAGGCUCUGAUUCAGAGAACACAGAUCGUGUGCUUGUUCGGAGGACAGUUUUGAGUCCCUGCUGUCACCUUCCUCACCAUAGAUUCAGAGAAGGUAGGUGGAGCUUCCUUCUGAAUUUAUUUUUUUCUAACGUUUGCUUUGGUAACGCUGAAGUUGUCACCUGUUGUUUCAAGGAAUGUAAAAAUCACCAGGAGUAUUAUAUUAUAAUUCAGAUAUUAUAAUACAUUUGGAUUAUCCAAGUGCAUUCGAGUAUAGUUUCUGCUUACGUGUGUAGAUGUCCAGCAGGACUUGAAGGACAGGAGAGUCACCAAGGGGAACAGUGUAGUGAUACAAAGGGCACUAUGACCAGUUUUUGCUUCUCGUCCUGACUUUCUGCUUUUUAACCAUGUGGGCGACCUUGAGAAAGGUACUUGAGCCCUCAAUUGCUUCAUCUGCAAAAUUAGAAAUUUGGACUGGACUACAUUGAAGCUAUUCCCC
This 839-nucleotide long non-coding RNA is filed under the name Microcebus murinus (gray mouse lemur). RNAcentral describes it as "lncRNA (ENSMICG00000048314.1)". Lineage: Eukaryota; Metazoa; Chordata; Mammalia; Primates; Cheirogaleidae. The record is from RNAcentral.